GGCGCCCCGAGCCUUCCUCCUGCUGCUCUCAGGGGCCCUGACCCUGAUCGACACCUGGGCGGGCUCCCACUCCAUGAGGUAUUUCAAAACCGUCAUGUCCAGUCACGGCCGCGGGGAGACUCAUUUCAUCGUCGUCGGCUACGUGGACGACACGCAGUUCGUGCGGUUCGACAGCGACGCCGCGAGUCCGAGGAUGGAGCCCCGGGCGCCGUGGAUGGAGCAGGAAGGGCAAGAGUAUUGGGAAGAGCAGACAAGGAACGUCAAGGACACCGCACAGAAAUUAGAAGCAGAACUUAACACACUGCGCAACUACUACAAUCAGAGCAAGGCCGUGUCUCACACCUACCAGUGGACGCACGGUUGCUACGUGGGGACAGACGGGCACCUGCUCCUCGGGUACAGUCAGUACGCCUACGACGGCAUCGAUCACCUCUCCCUGAACGAGGACCUGCGCUCCUGGACCGCGAUGAACACGGCGGCUCAGAUCACUCAGCGUAAGUUGGAGGCAGCAGGUGCGACUGAGCAGCACAGACACUACCUGGAGGGCACAUGCGUGGAGUGGCUCCUCAGACACAUGGAGAACGGGAAGCAGACGCUGCAGCGCAUAGAACCUCCAAAGACACAUGUGACCCACCACCCCAUCUCUGACCACGAGGUCACCCUGAGGUGCUGGGCCCUGGGCUUAUACCCUGCGGAGAUCACCCUGACCUGGCAGCGUGAUGGGGAGGACCUGACCCAGGACACGGAGCUUGUGGAGACCAGGCCUGCAGGGGACGGGACCUUCCAGAAGUGGGCUGCUGUGGUGGUGCCUUCUGGAGAGGAGCAGACAUACACAUGCCAUGUGCAGCACGAGGGGCUACCUGAGCCCGUGACCCUGAGAUGGGAGCCGCCGCCUCAGUCCACCAUCCUCAUCGUGGGCGUCAUUGCUGGCCUGGGUCUCCUUGGAGCUGUGGUGGCUGGAGCUGUGAUCUGGAGGAAGAAGCACUCAGGACAGAUCCCACAUAGGAACCACUGCCCCUGCUGCUGGAUGCAGAUGUCACUACUCACACCACUGACACCCUUCGUGAAGGACACUGGAUCCUGCGGCUGGGACUUCUACCGCCACUGCUCCUGGCAACUGGAUAUUGUUGCUGCCACUCAUGCCACCCUUGCCAAAUGCAUUCUGCGCAGUUCCAGCCUCUCCAUGUCACCACAUGCUGAGUCAGAGUCUGACGUGGUCUCCUGA
Molecule: RNA transcript, 1225 nt
Organism: Equus caballus (horse)
Lineage: Eukaryota; Metazoa; Chordata; Mammalia; Perissodactyla; Equidae
Gene name: MHC class I antigen pseudogene
Source: RefSeq, marked provisional